Molecule: long non-coding RNA, 254 nt
Filed under: Gossypium raimondii (Peruvian cotton)
Lineage: Eukaryota; Viridiplantae; Streptophyta; Magnoliopsida; Malvales; Malvaceae
Description: long non-coding RNA (GRAI_LNC001489)
Source: RNAcentral
GGAAGAAAUCAGGAGGGAGAGGGUGGAGGUGGAGGUGGCUUUCGGGUUGGGAGGGUAAAACAGGGAAGAAGGAUUCGGUACAACCUAAAACGCAACCAAACUGAACUUUCCAUCCGGAAUGGAAACCAUCAAAUAUGACGAAUAGGGGCGUAAUGUAAUCAGCCCGUAAUAGGGCAUUACGUCCAACCAAACGUCGGAAUAGGUAGGGCCCACCGAAUCGGGCUGUAAUGGUAUUCCCAUUACAUCCAACCAAA